RNAcentral lists this ribosomal RNA (262 nucleotides) under uncultured bacterium. RNAcentral's name for it is "partial 16S ribosomal RNA". It matches the Rfam family "Bacterial small subunit ribosomal RNA", at positions 509 to 770 of the family's 1533-position model. The record is from RNAcentral.
CAGCAGCCGCGGUAAGACGAAGGAUGCAAGCGUUAUCCGGAUUCAUUGGGUUUAAAGGGAGCGUAGGUGGCCUUAUAAGUCAGUGGUGAAAGACCCCGGCUCAACCGGGGCAGUGCCAUUGAUACUGGGGAGCUUGAGUGUUGGAGGGGUACAUGGAAUUGAUGGUGUAGCGGUGAAAUGCAUAGAUACCAUCAGGAACACCGAUAGCGAAGGCAUUGUACUGGCCAACAACUGACGCUGAGGCACGAAAGCAUGGGUAGCG